AAGGAUUUAAGUUAAGGGAAAAACUAACAACCUUCAAAGUUGUAAAUAGAGAAAGGCUCUAAGCCUUG
RNAcentral lists this transfer RNA (68 nucleotides) under Pseudabris longiventris. Its description in RNAcentral is "tRNA-Trp". Lineage: Eukaryota; Metazoa; Arthropoda; Insecta; Coleoptera; Meloidae. The record is from RNAcentral.